RNAcentral lists this ribosomal RNA (253 nucleotides) under uncultured bacterium. RNAcentral describes it as "partial 16S ribosomal RNA". It matches the Rfam family "Bacterial small subunit ribosomal RNA", at positions 524 to 776 of the family's 1533-position model. The record is from RNAcentral.
UACGUAGGGUGCAAGCGUUGUCCGGAAUUAUUGGGCGUAAAGGGCUCGUAGGCGGUCUGUCGCGUCGGGAGUGAAAACUCAGGGCUUAACCCUGAGCCUGCUUCCGAUACGGGCAGACUAGAGGUAUGCAGGGGAGAACGGAAUUCCUGGUGUAGCGGUGAAAUGCGCAGAUAUCAGGAGGAACACCAGUGGCGAAGGCGGUUCUCUGGGCAUUACCUGACGCUGAGGAGCGAAAGCCAGGGGAGCAAACGGG